UGCGUAGGCGGAUAUUUAAGUCAGAUGUGAAAUUCCCGGGCUCAACCUGGGCGCUGCAUUUGAUACUGGAUAUCUAGAGUGCAGGAGAGGAAAGCGGAAUUCCUAGUGUAGCGGUGAAAUGCGUAGAGAUUAGGAAGAACACCAGUGGCGAAGGCGGCUUUCUGGACUGUAACUGACGCUGAGGCACGAAAGCGUGGGGAGCGAACA
RNAcentral lists this ribosomal RNA (207 nucleotides) under uncultured bacterium. Its description in RNAcentral is "partial 16S ribosomal RNA". It matches the Rfam family "Bacterial small subunit ribosomal RNA", at positions 568 to 774 of the family's 1533-position model. The record is from RNAcentral.